CCUACGGGUGGCAGCAGUAGGGAAUCUUGGACAAUGGGGGAAACCCUGAUCCAGCCAUGCCGCGUGAGUGAUGAAGGCCUUCGGGUUGUAAAACUCUUUCGCGCACGACGAUAAUGACGGUAGUGCGAGAAGAAGCUCCGGCUAACUUCGUGCCAGCAGCCGCGGUAAUACGAAGGGGGCUAGCGUUGUUCGGAAUUACUGGGCGUAAAGCGCGCGCAGGCGGCCUUUCAAGUCAGGGGUGAAAGCCCGGAGCUUAACUCCGGAAUUGCCUCUGAGACUGUAAGGCUUGAGUACGGGAGAGGUGAGUGGAAUUCCGAGUGUAGAGGUGAAAUUCGUAGAUAUUCGGAAGAACACCGGUGGCGAAGGCGGCUCACUGGCCCGUUACUGACGCUCAGGCGCGACAGCGUGGGGAGCAAACAGGAUUAGAUACCCUGGUAGUC
RNAcentral lists this ribosomal RNA (440 nucleotides) under uncultured Alphaproteobacteria bacterium. RNAcentral describes it as "bacterial SSU rRNA". It matches the Rfam family "Bacterial small subunit ribosomal RNA", at positions 338 to 795 of the family's 1533-position model. Lineage: Bacteria; Pseudomonadati; Pseudomonadota; Alphaproteobacteria. The record is from RNAcentral.